Molecule: long non-coding RNA, 214 nt
Filed under: Lathyrus oleraceus (garden pea)
Lineage: Eukaryota; Viridiplantae; Streptophyta; Magnoliopsida; Fabales; Fabaceae
Description: Pisum sativum (pea) long non-coding RNA (PSAT_LNC013754)
Source: RNAcentral
UUUGACCUCAUUAGUUCAUUACCGUAAUUAUAUAUCAUUAUAUAUUAGCAAUUGACCUUGUUGUAUAUACCAUUUCCUUGCCGACUCCUAUAUUUCAUUUAUAUUAAGUCUUCUCUUAAAUGUUUGUCAACUUCAAGCUUUUUUUCCUCUCUCAUACUUGUGUUCAUAUUUUUUCUUAACCAUUUUUAUGCAAGUAACCUAAAUCUAUACUCUU